Molecule: ribosomal RNA, 253 nt
Filed under: uncultured bacterium
Lineage: Bacteria
Description: partial 16S ribosomal RNA
Rfam family: Bacterial small subunit ribosomal RNA
Source: RNAcentral
UACGUAGGGUGCGAGCGUUGUCCGGAAUUAUUGGGCGUAAAGGGCUCGUAGGCGGUUUGUCGCGUCUGGGGUGAAAACCAUGAGCUUAACUCAUGGCUUGCUUUCGAUACGGGCAGACUAGAGGCAUGCAGGGGAGAACGGAAUUCCUGGUGUAGCGGUGAAAUGCGCAGAUAUCAGGAGGAACACCGGUGGCGAAGGCGGUUCUCUGGGCAUGUCCUGACGCUGAGGAGCGAAAGUGUGGGGAGCGAACAGG